Bos taurus (domestic cattle) is the source of this 3036-nucleotide long non-coding RNA. The record is from Ensembl. NCBI's taxonomy places the organism in Eukaryota, Metazoa, Chordata, Mammalia, Artiodactyla, Bovidae.
GCUGGGCCUGAGGAGCCCCUUCCCCACUCUCCUCUUAGCCCCACUGUGCUCUCCACUCCUCACUCUGCCAUUCAACCUCUUACCUGACAAACCCUUAUUGAGCAGCUACUAUGUGCUAGCACUGAGAUGAGCAAGGACAGGUUUAUCUCAGGUCUCCAUCAAAGAGGCGACAGUGACCAGACAGUCACAGCACACGUGCAGAGGGCUGGGCUUGGACAGAGAAGAGAAAAUCAGAGGGGCCACUGGAGGAGGUACCAUGGAAGUUGAGACCUGCAGCAUGAGUGAGAGUUGGGGACAGGGUUCCAGGCAACGGGAACAGCAUGUGCCAGGGAUAGGAGGCCAGAAAUGAGAUCAUGUGGUUAGAGCAUUGAAUGUGAGCCAAAGAGGCAGCCUCUGCAUCUCAGCUUCUUCAUCUGGUAAAUGGAGACAGCAGCUUGCUAGUGGGCUAAGACACGACGUGGGUGGCCUACCGGCUGCAGUGAUCAUCAUCCCAACCCUGCUCUCCUCGUCGUCUCUCCUGAUCAUCAGCUUCAUCUUAUGGAAAACUUGCCGCCGGUUGUCCCGGGUCACCCAGCCCCGCCUGCCAUCCACAUGAGGGGCCCAGGAAUCUGAAUUGUGGAAUGUGACACCCAGAAAUGGAGCUGAGUUAUAUUAAUGCCUGGGAACCUCUGCUGCUGAGGCCCCUGGAGCUACCCUGCUCCUUUCAAAGACCCAUUCAUCAAUAAUCCUUUUGAUUCUGAAAGUCCUUGCAAUCAAUUCCCCAAACUUUUAAUUUUCAUUUCUUUCAGAAUCAGUUUGUUACUUUUAAAGAAAAAACUUUGAAAUUAACAGUGAAGACAGAUGAAGCUGGUGGGGUAUACAGUCAGCAUGGUCCAGUGUAUGUAUAAUAGGACCCACAUAUGUAAUUUUGCAUUUUCUAGUAGCCACAUUUUAAAAAUUGAAGUUAAUGAAAUUAAUAUUAACAAUGUUUCAUUUCACCCAAUAUAGAUAAGUAUUAUAUUUCAGUAUCUAGUCAAAAUGUUUAAAUUGCUAAUGAGAUGUUUUACAUUCUUCUCUUUGAACCAUGUCUUUGAAAUGUGGGGUGUAUUUUACACAUAUAGCAUAUCUCAAAUAAGACUGGCCACACUUUGAGUGCUCCAUAGCCACAUGAGGCUGGUCGCUUGCAUAAUGGAUAGCACAGAUUAAGAUAUUCAAGGUGAUGAAGGAUCUGCUAAGAAGUCCUGGCCUCAUUCUAAAGAGAUUCAUCCCCAGAAGAGAUUCAAAUCUAGAAGUAACAUGAUAAAAUAUAUAUAUAACUUUAGGAAGAUCACUCUGACUUCCACUUAUAGAAUGGACAGGAAAGGAACUGAAGCUUGAGUUAGGGAGAUCAGUUAGGAGGAGCUGAAGAGAGAAUGAGAGGUAAAGAUGUUGAUGAUAGACUUUGGUGGCAGCAGCUGAAAUAUUAAGAUGCAGUCCUUCCCAUCACUCCAUCUCACAUAUCUUCCCCUAUUCUCUCUGGCAACCAAAGAGGCAAAUCUAUGAUCUUUAAGGCAUAGUCCCUGGCAGUUAUGCCCACAAAGCGGUCCACAAUAGGAGAUCAAUCAACAGAUGUGUCUUUCCUCCCUCAAUGAAAUGUCCUCUGAAUGCUCCUGCCCGCACCUAACUGCUGAUACUGAAAUUUGAAAGACAGGAAUAUUGGCCCAAUCUAUGGUAAACUGGAGAUCCUGUCCUAGGAAUUUUCCAGCAACUCUAAGAAGAGCUUUCUGCUGCAUGGGUGAAGGUGGAAAGUUAUAUUUAACCAGAGUUGUGGUUUUGCUUAGAGAGUAUACAUACAACAAAUUAAAAAGAGGCAAGGAAGUAGUGGGUGAAUACAAGGGAAUGAUAAUAAAAAUAACUAUGGAAUUUAAGCCAGCAUGGGAAUAUUUAAGAGAUAUUCAUAAAAAUUCCAGUUCUCCAACCCCACCCCCUGCUUCUGGACCCUGGGAAGAAAUGCACUUUUCUGUCCAUUUGAGGCUAGGUGUGGCCAUGUGACUAGUUCUGGCCAAUUAGAUUACAGACUCUAGAUGGAGCAUUUAAUUGCCAAGACCCUCCAGUUUCUCUUUUCCCUCUCAUAUACUGACCAAUGUUAUUUGAAAUGGUGGCUUUUCCAUCAGCCUGGGUUUCUCACUAUGAAAAGCAGAGUCCUCUGUUUGUUGACCGACAAUGUUCAAGUUGUGUGAGCAGGAAAUAAAUCUUUCUUCACUAUAUUAAAGCUUAAAAUGCAAGCCUUAAAUAUAAACCUGAAAUAUUGGGAUUGUUUUUUACUACAGCACCACAUAGCCUAGCCUGACUGAUAUAACCAGAAGAGAGGACAUUAAUAGGGAGGGAGAAAAUGAAAAAUGUAAGAUUAAUAGAUUUCAGUUCCUGGCACUGAAGAUUGAUGAAGUCCCAAUAGGAGAGAGAAUAACUGGAGAGACACUUGGUAUUAUUAGAGCGGUAAAUUCAUGGCAAGGUCUAGGACAAGAUCUCUGAAGCAAGAAUCUGAGAGAACAAUGUCAGGAGGAUCAUCUCUGUGUGUAUUGAAAUUGUCAAAGAUUAAGACAGAAAUAAUGUCGAAGAGGGUUAACAGGCAGAAGCCAAAAUUCUUAUUGUUUCUCUUCCCACAAGGAAGACAUGAAUGCCAUGAAGGUAAGACUUCUGUGCUCACAUUUAUGUCCCCAGUGCCUGGGACGGCACCUGCCACAGGGAAGACACUUAAUAUACACUUGCUGAAUGCAUGAGCAGAAGAAGGGGAGGAUAGUACACCAUACAUUUUGACAAAUAAAUUUAAUUCAGGCAACAGAGUACUUUCCAGUUCUUACUCCUUUGCUUCUGUUUUUUUCUGCAAUACUUUCCCCCCAGACCACAGUGGCUGUUCUCUUUGUCCACGAGUCUGCUUGUUGAUCUAUCUUCUUGUUGCCAGAAAUCUCAAGGAGCUACUUUUUAAACUUAUCCCCAGAGGCUUGCAUGCUGGCAACUCUAGCUAAUACCAUCCCCCAUGUUACAAAACACCAGUGUUAUUUUCUCCUCCACCUUCUC